This 185-nucleotide non-coding RNA is filed under the name unclassified sequences. RNAcentral describes it as "malK-I RNA". It matches the Rfam family "malK-I RNA". The record is from RNAcentral.
UUAAACUAGAAAGAAAGACUCCACGAUAAAGCUUUCUGUGCAAACAAAGCAAAGGAGGAAAAAAUUCCGCAGGCUUGCGGUGCGGCAGUGUGGAGACCUGCCGUAAUGCGGCGCACUCUUCUACCGGGUGGCUGCGAGGUGAUCGGGCGGAGGCCUGAUCAUCAGAGUCUUAAUAAAAUAUGGCU